RNAcentral lists this ribosomal RNA (493 nucleotides) under uncultured bacterium. RNAcentral describes it as "partial 16S ribosomal RNA". It matches the Rfam family "Bacterial small subunit ribosomal RNA", at positions 29 to 508 of the family's 1533-position model. The record is from RNAcentral.
AGUGAACGCUGGCGGUAGGCCUAACACAUGCAAGCCGAACGGCAGCACAGUAAGAGCUUGCUCUUACGGGUGGCGAGUGGCGGACGGGUGAGGAAUACAUCGGAAUCUACUUUUUCGUGGGGGAUAACGUAGGGAAACUUACGCUAAUACCGCAUACGACCUACGGGUGAAGGCAGGGGAUCUUCGGACCUUGCGCGAUUGAAUGAGCCGAUGUCGGAUUAGCUAGUUGGCGGGGUAAAGGCCCACCAAGGCGACGAUCCGUAGCUGGUCUGAGAGGAUGAUCAGCCACACUGGAACUGAGACACGGUCCAGACGCCUACGGGAGGCAGCAGUGGGGAAUAUUGGACAAUGGGCGCAAGCCUGAUCCAGCCAUACCGCGUGGGUGAAGAAGGCCUUCGGGUUGUAAAGCCCUUUUGUUGGGAAAGAAAAGCAGCAGGUUAAUACCCCGCUGUUCUGACGGUACCCAAAGAAUAAGCACCGGCUAACUUCGUGC